This 372-nucleotide ribosomal RNA is filed under the name uncultured bacterium. RNAcentral's name for it is "bacterial SSU rRNA". It matches the Rfam family "Bacterial small subunit ribosomal RNA", at positions 527 to 896 of the family's 1533-position model. The record is from RNAcentral.
GGGGGGGGCAAGCGUUGUUCGGAAUUACUGGGCGUAAAGGGCUCGUAGGCGGCCAACUAAGUCAGACGUGAAAUCCCUCGGCUUAACCGGGGAACUGCAUCUGAUACUGGAUGGCUUGAGUUCGGGAGAGGGAUGCGGAAUUCCAGGUGUAGCGGUGAAAUGCGUAGAUAUCUGGAGGAACACCGGUGGCGAAGGCGGCAUCCUGGACCGACACUGACGCUGAGGAGCGAAAGCCAGGGGAGCAAACGGGAUUAGAUACCCCGGUAGUCCUGGCCCUAAACGAUGAAUGCUUGGUGUGGCGGGUAUCGAUCCCUGCCGUGCCGAAGCUAACGCAUUAAGCAUUCCGCCUGGGGAGUACGGUCGCANAGGCUG